Molecule: long non-coding RNA, 527 nt
Organism: Oncorhynchus tshawytscha (Chinook salmon)
Lineage: Eukaryota; Metazoa; Chordata; Actinopteri; Salmoniformes; Salmonidae
Source: Ensembl
UCUAAGCUAGAAGCAUCAGAACACUUAGAAAGGUAGUUCUAGCCUUAAAUAUGACUGGGAGAAGUGUCAAGAAAAAGAAAGCAAUAUAUUCCAUACUACACUAGAACACAGCAAACAUUAACAACAACAGUCUAAACAUAGCUGAGGGCAAUUGAGCAAACUAUACACUAGAUGACAGCAAAUGGACCUAUCACGACCCUACAGGAAGGAAGGCCCUACGGAGGAUGGUGCAGACGGCACAAUACAUCACUGGGGGCGAGCGACCUGCCCUCCAGGACAUCUACACCAGCCGGUGUCUGAGGAAGGCCCAAAAGAUAGUCACCCGAGCCGCGGACUGUUCACUCGGUUACCAUCUGGCAAGAGGUAUCGGAGUAUCGGGUCACAGACAAAAAGGCUCAGAGACAGCUCCUACCACCAGGCCAUCAGACUGCUGAUGUGGUGCUGAAGCGCUGACCACGGCGCUGUUCACAGUCAUGGUGCUGAAGAGUUGACUGCAGCGCUGUUAACGGUGGUGGUGUUGAAAAGCU